This 81-nucleotide transfer RNA is filed under the name Anaerolineales bacterium. Its description in RNAcentral is "tRNA-Phe". It matches the Rfam family "tRNA". From Rfam's summary of the family: Transfer RNA (tRNA) molecules are approximately 80 nucleotides in length. Lineage: Bacteria; Bacillati; Chloroflexota; Anaerolineae; Anaerolineales. The record is from RNAcentral.
GGGGGUGGCCGAGUGGCUUAAGGCGUCCGACUGAAAAUCGGAUAGGGAUAUCCCUCACGGGUUCGAAUCCCGUCCCCUCCG